GUAGUCCACGCCGUAAACGUUGGGAACUAGAUGUGGGGACCAUUCCACGGUCUCCGUGUCGCAGCUAACGCAUUAAGUUCCCCGCCUGGGGAGUACGGCCGCAAGGCUAAAACUCAAAGGAAUUGACGGGGGCCCGCACAAGCGGCGGAGCAUGCGGAUUAAUUCGAUGCAACGCGAAGAACCUUACCAAGGCUUGACAUAUACCGGAAACGGCCAGAAAUGGUCGCCCCGCAAGGUCGGUAUACAGGUGGUGCAUGGUUGUCGUCAGCUCGUGUCGUGAGAUGUUGGGUUAAGUCCCGCAACGAGCGCAACCCUCGUUCUAUGUUGCCAGCACGUAAUGGUGGGAACUC
This 350-nucleotide ribosomal RNA is filed under the name uncultured Microbacteriaceae bacterium. RNAcentral's name for it is "bacterial SSU rRNA". It matches the Rfam family "Bacterial small subunit ribosomal RNA", at positions 790 to 1140 of the family's 1533-position model. The record is from RNAcentral. Lineage: Bacteria; Bacillati; Actinomycetota; Actinomycetes; Micrococcales; Microbacteriaceae.